Molecule: non-coding RNA, 330 nt
Organism: Cricetulus griseus (Chinese hamster)
Lineage: Eukaryota; Metazoa; Chordata; Mammalia; Rodentia; Cricetidae
Source: RefSeq, a predicted model, not a curated record
AGUCGUCCCUCCCCAGGCCCCCGGGACAAAGGUCUAGCGGUGUCCACCCCUCCCCUCCCCCAGUGAGGACAGCCCGGGGAAGACCCGCGUCUGUUGUGUGUCCAGGAUUCAACAAUGGGGCUGGAGAGAAGGCUCAGCAGUUAGGAGCAAUGAUUGCUCUUCCCGAGGACAUGACUUCAGUCUCACCACUCCUGUUGGGUGCCUCAAAACUGCCUGAAACUCCAGUUCCAGAAGGGGGUGGGAUCGCACACCCCUGUCUAGCUACUAUGUGCAUGUGUGUGUGCACAAACCUUCAUAUAUAUGUAAAUAAAAACAAAAAUAAAGCCUGUC